UACAGAGGGGGCAAGCGUUGUUCGGAAUUACUGGGCGUAAAGGGCGCGUAGGCGGCCUGCUAAGUCGAACGUGAAAUCCCUGGGCUUAACCCAGGAACUGCGUCCGAUACUGGCAGGCUUGAAUCCGGGAGAGGGAUGCGGAAUUCCAGGUGUAGCGGUGAAAUGCGUAGAUAUCUGGAGGAACACCGGUGGCGAAGGCGGCAUCCUGGACCGGCAUUGACGCUGAGGCACGAAAGCCAGGGGAGCAAACGGG
Molecule: ribosomal RNA, 253 nt
Filed under: uncultured bacterium
Lineage: Bacteria
Description: partial 16S ribosomal RNA
Rfam family: Bacterial small subunit ribosomal RNA
Source: RNAcentral